UACGAAGGGGGCUAGCGUUGUUCGGAUUAACUGGGCGUAAAGGGUGCGUAGGCGGGGUUUUAAGUCAGGGGUGAAAUGCCGAGGCUCAACUUCGGAACUGCCUUUGAUACUGGAACUCUUGAGUCUGGGAGAGGUGAGUGGAACUGCGAGUGUAGAGGUGAAAUUCGUAGAUAUCGUAAGGAAGACCAGUGGCGAAGGCGGGUCUCUGGACAGUUCCUGACGCUGAGGCACGAAGGCCAGGGGGAGCAAACAGG
This 254-nucleotide ribosomal RNA is filed under the name uncultured bacterium. RNAcentral's name for it is "partial 16S ribosomal RNA". It matches the Rfam family "Bacterial small subunit ribosomal RNA", at positions 524 to 776 of the family's 1533-position model. The record is from RNAcentral.